UACGGAGGGUGCAAGCAUUAAUCGGAUUUAUUGGGCGUAAAGGGCGCGUAGGCGGACAUGAAAGUCAGAUGUGAAAUCCCGAGGCUUAACCUCGGAACAGCAUUUGAAACUCCAUAUCUAGAGGGUAGGCGGAGAAAACGGAAUUCCACAAGUAGCGGUGAAAUGCGUAGAUAUGUGGAAGAACACCGGUGGCGAAGGCGGUUUUCUAGCUUAUACCUGACGCUGAGGCGCGAAAGCAAGGGGAUCAAACAGG
RNAcentral lists this ribosomal RNA (253 nucleotides) under uncultured bacterium. Its description in RNAcentral is "partial 16S ribosomal RNA". It matches the Rfam family "Bacterial small subunit ribosomal RNA", at positions 524 to 776 of the family's 1533-position model. The record is from RNAcentral.